AACAAAAGCAUAAAAAUAAUGAUAAAAAAUAGGUAAAAAAAAAAAAAAAAAUUAAAAAAUUUAGUAAAAGGUUUACAUUUAUACGAAGGUUGUUCACAAGGGCGCCUCUUGCAUCAAAGAUGGUUUUCGCAAUUAUACAGUUCUUGUCUUUGUGCUCGUGUUGCUCUGUGGCAUCAAAAGGCACUUACUUGGUCUCAAAAAUCGCGCCCUGAGCUAAACGAUAUCAAUAUUAAAAAUAAAGUUCAAAUAAAGUUAUUUCGCUGAUACCAUCGAAGGUUGCUUUCUCAUGUUAACCCGAAACUUUGAAGAUAUUUAACCAAUUAACUGUGUCGAACUCUUGGUACACUCUUUGGAUGCAGUUUUCAAAGGUAAGCCUAAAGAUAGGCAUUACAAAAUCCUCCUAAAACAUUCGAACUCGUCAUGUGACAUAAGUCGCAUAUAAAAAUUAAAAAAAAAGGAAGAAAAAAAAUUUAUAUUAAAAAAAUAAAACUUACACAUAUAAACUCACUUUAGCCUUAUAGAUUAAAAUAUAUCAGUAAAAUAUAAUAUAAAUGAAAAUAAAAAUAAAAAUUAAACCAAAAACGCAACAAACGUGAAUAAAAAGAAAAAAGUAACUUUGACUUAAUUGCAGGCCAUUCAACUGCCAACAGCAAUAGAAAAAAAAAAAGAAGAAGAAAACAAAAUUUGUUUUUUUUUUUGCUUUUAAUUGUUUAUGUUCGAUGUGCCAAACAAACUUCCCCCCCACCACCAGCAUAGCAUUGCUGAUAAAGUUUAGCAAGGAAAAUGAAUAA
This is a long non-coding RNA of Glossina fuscipes, 791 nucleotides long. RefSeq lists it as uncharacterized. The record is from RefSeq and is a predicted model, not a curated record. The transcript has 2 exons. Lineage: Eukaryota; Metazoa; Arthropoda; Insecta; Diptera; Glossinidae.